AUGGUGGUGUCUUUCAGCAGGCAUGUAUUCCGUCUUAAUGGCGAUUCUGUGGUGGCUGCCUUCGAAUCAGCGAUUGGGGGAUCUGGGAUUGAAUUUUCGGUGCAAAUCAUCCGAGACAAGGUAUUUUCCUUUUUGGUAUCUUGUAAGCAAAUUGGUCUCUGCAUUCUCCAGUUGAGGUCGUUUGCGUGCCCACAAUUCAAAUGCUUCUUUCAUCUUUGGGGAAAUGGUGGUCCUAAUUGGGUCCGUGAAUUUAAGAUCUGGAAAAAAGAGUGCGAUGCUGAAUGGAUCCUAGUGAGUCCUUCUAAGAAACGUGCCACUUAGGGGUUGCUUGCCAUGCAUAAUCGUCCGGCUAGAUCAUCAUUUAGAUCGAGUUCAUCUUCGUGAAAGAAGCUUUCUUUUGCAACGUUCCAGCAAUAUCCUGCUUGCAAGGGUUAUAGGUAUCAUGCUUCUCAGUCAUUGGUUGAUACGGUAUCGAAGGCCGGAUAUGACAUGCAUCCUCAUGACAGACUGAUCUUGCCCUCGCCG
This 525-nucleotide ribosomal RNA is filed under the name Triticum aestivum (bread wheat). Its description in RNAcentral is "partial small subunit ribosomal RNA". The record is from RNAcentral. Lineage: Eukaryota; Viridiplantae; Streptophyta; Magnoliopsida; Poales; Poaceae.